AUGGCAAUUGUCCAUACCUACGGGAAGCCUGACAUCUUCUUGACCAUGACCUGCAACCCUAACUGGGAAGAGAUAACAAAUGAGUUGUUUCCUGGCCAGACUGCGCAAGACCGACCUGAUCUUGUGGCUCGUGUGUUCCAUGGCAAGCUAGAGGCUAUGAAAGAGAUGUUGUUCAAGAAGAAUAUCCUGGGUGUUGUUGUCGCACAUGUAUACGUAGUCGAGUUCCAAAAGAGGGGCCUC
RNAcentral lists this ribosomal RNA (240 nucleotides) under Triticum aestivum (bread wheat). RNAcentral's name for it is "partial small subunit ribosomal RNA". The record is from RNAcentral. Lineage: Eukaryota; Viridiplantae; Streptophyta; Magnoliopsida; Poales; Poaceae.